GACGAACGCUGGCGGCGUGCUUAACACAUGCAAGUCGAACGGAAAGGCCCUGCUUUUGUGGGGUGCUCGAGUGGCGAACGGGUGAGUAACACGUGAGUAACCUGCCCUUGACUUUGGGAUAACUUCAGGAAACUGGGGCUAAUACCGGAUAGGAGCUCCUGCUGCAUGGUGGGGGUUGGAAAGUUUCGGCGGUUGGGGAUGGACUCGCGGCUUAUCAGCUUGUUGGUGGGGUAGUGGCAUACCAAGGCUUUGGCGGGUAGCCGGCCUGAGAGGGUGGCCGGCCACAUUGGGACUACGAUACGGCCCAGACUCCUACGGGAGGCAGCAGUGGGGAAUAUUGCACAAUGGGCGGAAGCCUGAUGCAGCAACGCCGCGUGCGGGAUGACGGCCUUCGGGUUGUAAACCGCUUUCGCCUGUGACGAAGCGUGAGUGACGGUAAUGGGUAAAGAAGCACCGGCUAACUACGUG
This 468-nucleotide ribosomal RNA is filed under the name uncultured bacterium. RNAcentral's name for it is "partial 16S ribosomal RNA". It matches the Rfam family "Bacterial small subunit ribosomal RNA", at positions 28 to 507 of the family's 1533-position model. The record is from RNAcentral.